This 917-nucleotide ribosomal RNA is filed under the name Boana polytaenia (Cope's eastern Paraguay treefrog). RNAcentral's name for it is "partial 16S ribosomal RNA". The stretch from base 169 to 917 matches the Rfam family "Bacterial large subunit ribosomal RNA", at positions 568 to 1931 of the family's 2925-position model. The record is from RNAcentral. Lineage: Eukaryota; Metazoa; Chordata; Amphibia; Anura; Hylidae.
GCCAAAAAUCUAGCCCCCACCUUUUUAAAAUAUUUCUUUUUACCUGAUCAAAUUAAACAAACCAUUUUUCCAAUUAAGUAUCGGCGAUAAAAAAAUUAACUGGAGCUAUAAAACUAGUACCGCAAGGGAAAGCUGAAAUAUAAGUGAAAUAAACGCUUAAGCAUAAAAAAGUAGAGACCUCCCCUUGUACCUUUUGCAUCAUGGUUUAACUAGUCCUUAUCAAGCAGAAAGAAUUUUAGUUUGACCCCCCGAAACUAAGUGAGCUACUCCAAGGCAGCCCUAUGAGCCAACCCGUCUCUGUUGCAAAAGAGUGGGAAGACCUUUGAGUAGAGGUGAUAGACCAAACGAACUUAGUGAUAGCUGGUUACCCGAUAAAAGAAUUUUAGUUCUACCUAAAGCCCUCAAUAAGUCUUAUAAACUAGCACUAAUGCUUUAGAGUUAUUCAAAUAAGGUACAGCCUAUUUGAACAAGGAAACAACCUAAACUAAUGGGUUAAUUCUGCAACAAUGUACCAAAGUGGGCCUAAAAGCAGCCACCUUUAACAAUAGCGUCAAAGCUUUUCUACACACGCAUGCCAAUUUCUCAACCCAAUCUAAACCCUUUAUUUUCAUCGAGUAAUUCUAUACCCUUAUAGAGUAUAAAAUGUUAAAACUAGUAACAAGAAGAAAGCCCUUCUCUUAAAUGUCAGUAUAAGCCAGAAAGGAUAAACCACUGUCAAUUAACACUAAUGACUUUUAAUUAGUAACACCACAAGAAAACCCUAAUAAAACAAGUGUUAAACUAACACAAGAACAUUUCAAGAAAGAUUAAAAGAAAAAGAAGGAACUCGGCAAACACCAACCCCGCCUGUUUACCAAAAACAUCGCCUCUUGACAAAUAUAAGAGGUCCAGCCUGCCCAGUGACCUAGUUCAACGGC